This 474-nucleotide ribosomal RNA is filed under the name uncultured bacterium. RNAcentral describes it as "bacterial SSU rRNA". It matches the Rfam family "Bacterial small subunit ribosomal RNA", at positions 30 to 406 of the family's 1533-position model. The record is from RNAcentral.
AUUGAACGCUGGCGGAAUGCUUUACACAUGCAAGUCGGGCGGCAGCGCGGGGGCAACCCUGGCGGCGAGCGGCGAACGGGUGAGUAAUACAUCGGAACGUGUCCUUAAGUGGGGGAUAGCUCGGCGAAAGCCGGAUUAAUACCGCAUAAGCUCUGAGGAGGAAAGCGGGGGAUCGUCUAGAAACUGGAUACUAGAGACUGGAAACUGGAUUAAUGAGAUGCGGCUUUGCCGCGCCUUAUCAGUCUAGUCUCUGGUUUCUAGUCUCUAGUUUCUAGACGACCUCGCGCUGUUGGAGCGGCCGAUGUCGGAUUAGCUAGUUGGUGGGGUAAAGGCUCACCAAGGCGACGAUCCGUAGCUGGUCUGAGAGGAUGAUCAGCCACACUGGAACUGAGACACGGUCCAGACUCCUACGGGAGGCAGCAGUGGGGAAUUUUGGACAAUGGGGCAACCCUGAUCCAGCCAUUCCGCGUGAGU